AGCGUAGGCGGUCUCUUAAGUCAGAUGUGAAAGCCCGGGGCUUAACCCCGGAAGUGCAUUUGAAACUAAGGGACUUGAGUAUGGGAGAGGGAAGUGGAAUUCCUGGUGUAGAGGUGAAAUUCGUAGAUAUCAGGAGGAACACCGGUGGCGAAGGCGACUUCCUGGACCAAUACUGACGCUGAGGCGCGAAGGCGUGGGGGAGCAAACA
RNAcentral lists this ribosomal RNA (208 nucleotides) under uncultured bacterium. RNAcentral describes it as "partial 16S ribosomal RNA". It matches the Rfam family "Bacterial small subunit ribosomal RNA", at positions 568 to 774 of the family's 1533-position model. The record is from RNAcentral.